GAUGAACGCUGGCGGCGUGCCUAAUACAUGCAAGUCGAGCGAACAGACGAGGAGCUUGCUCCUUUGACGUUAGCGGCGGACGGGUGAGUAACACGUAGGUAACCUACCUAUAAGACUGGGAUAACUUCGGGAAACCGGAGCUAAUACCGGAUAAUAUUUCGAACCGCAUGGUUCGAUAGUGAAAGAUGGCUUUGCUGUCACUUAUAGAUGGACCUGCGCCGUAUUAGCUAGUUGGUAAGGUAACGGCUUACCAAGGCAACGAUACGUAGCCGACCUGAGAGGGUGAUCGGCCACACUGGAACUGAGACACGGUCCAGACUCCUACGGGAGGCAGCAGUAGGGAAUCUUCCGCAAAGGGCGAAAGCCUGACGGAGCAACGCCGCGUGAGUGAUGAAGGUCUUCGGAUCGUAAAACUCUGUUAUUAGGGAAGAACAAACGUGUAAGUAACUAUGCACGUCUUGACGGUACCUAAUCAGAAAGCCACGGCUAACUACGUG
Molecule: ribosomal RNA, 497 nt
Filed under: uncultured bacterium
Lineage: Bacteria
Description: partial 16S ribosomal RNA
Rfam family: Bacterial small subunit ribosomal RNA
Source: RNAcentral